Ochotona princeps (American pika) is the source of this 486-nucleotide long non-coding RNA. RefSeq lists it as uncharacterized. The transcript has 3 exons. NCBI's taxonomy places the organism in Eukaryota, Metazoa, Chordata, Mammalia, Lagomorpha, Ochotonidae. The record is from RefSeq and is a predicted model, not a curated record.
GGUCGGCUCUGGGAGUCCCGGCUGCGGCCAAGCGGCUGUGGCAGAAUGCGGGACCUUCCCGCCGCGCGAGCGACCCGGCUUAGAGUAGAGGGCCACCACCAGCCACCCCUCGCCUUUGACUGACCGGGCCUGGCCAAGAAACAUUAGUGUAGCUCAACGCAUCUACCAUGCUGAAAACUGUAUUUCCCAGCAUCCUUUGAAACUGUGGCUAUUCCAUGUGACUUCAUGCUGACCAGUAGGACACAAGUAGAAGUGGUCAUGCAGAGGUGAUGGAAGCUACUUCCAGGCCUUGCCUGCAUCAAAAUUCCAUGUAACUAUCCAGCUGUCUGUUCGCCACCCGUGUCCAACUCUAAGACCAGCGGUCAUAGGGAUGUGAUGGAAAAGUGGGACUUGAUGCCCAGAGUGAGUGAUACGAAAGCCAGAGGUGAAUAAGCCCUUGGUGUGUUCAGUUGCUGCCAUGUCAGAGCCUGCAGCAUCCGCCUGUCU